GUUGAACGCUGGCGGCAGGCCUAACACAUGCAAGUCGAGCGGAGCGGCGGACGGGUGAGUAAUGCCUAGGCAUCUGCCUGGUAGUGGGGGAUCACGUCCGGAACCGGGCGCUAAUACCGCAAAAUAGCAGCUGAGCCUAGGUCGGAUUGGCUAGUUGGUGGGGUAAAGGCCUACCAAGGCGACGAUCCGUAUCUGGUCUGAGAGGAUGAUCAGUCACCCUGGAACUGAGACACGGUCCAGACUCCUACGGGAGGCAGCAGUGGGGAAUAUUGUACAAGGGGCGAAAGCCUGAUCCAGCCAUGCCGCGUGUGUGAAGAAGGUCUUCGGAUUGUAAAGCACUUUAAGUUGGGAGGCGGUACCAACAGAAUAAGCACCGGCUAACUUCGUGCCAGCCGCCGCGGUAAUAC
Molecule: ribosomal RNA, 407 nt
Filed under: uncultured bacterium
Lineage: Bacteria
Description: partial 16S ribosomal RNA
Rfam family: Bacterial small subunit ribosomal RNA
Source: RNAcentral